Molecule: ribosomal RNA, 149 nt
Filed under: Trichoderma reesei
Lineage: Eukaryota; Fungi; Ascomycota; Sordariomycetes; Hypocreales; Hypocreaceae
Description: partial small subunit ribosomal RNA
Rfam family: Eukaryotic small subunit ribosomal RNA
Source: RNAcentral
CGGACCUUUGUACACACCGCCCGUCGCUACUACCGAUUGAAUGGCUCAGUGAGGCGUCCGGACUGGCCCAGAGAGGUGGGCAACUACCACUCAGGGCCGGAAAGCUCUCCAAACUCGGUCAUUUAGAGGAAGUAAAAGUCGUAACAAGG